GGGGGGGGGGGGGGGCGGGGCUGACAGAUGCGAGUCGAACGAGGCGGUCGGGGCUAGGGGCGCACGGGUGCGUGACGCGGGGGAACCGGCCCUUAGGUUCGGAAUACCUCCCCGAAAGGGGUGCUAAUACCGGAUAAUGUCUUCGGACCAAAGAUUUAUCGCCUUUGGAUGGGCCCGCGUUGGAUUAGCUAGUUGGUAGGGUCAAAGCCUACCAAGGCGACGAUCCAUAGCUGGUCUGAGAGGAUGAUCCGCCACACUGGGACUGAGACACGGCCCAGACUCCUACGGGAGGCAGCAGUGGGGAAUAUUGGACAAUGGGCGAAAGCCUGAUCCAGCAAUGCCGCGUGAGUGAUGAAGGCCUUAGGGUUGUAAAGCUCUUUUACCCGGGAUGAUAAUGACAGUACCGGGAGAAUAAGCUCCGGCUAACUCCGUG
RNAcentral lists this ribosomal RNA (433 nucleotides) under uncultured bacterium. Its description in RNAcentral is "partial 16S ribosomal RNA". It matches the Rfam family "Bacterial small subunit ribosomal RNA", at positions 38 to 507 of the family's 1533-position model. The record is from RNAcentral.